UACGAAGGGGGCUAGCGUUGUCCGGAAUCAUUGGGCGUAAAGCGCGCGUAGGCGGCCCGGUAAGUCCGUUGUGAAAGUCAAAGGCUCAACCUUUGAACGCCGAUGGAUACUGCCGGGCUAGAGUCCGGAAGAGGCGAGUUGGAAUUCCUGGUGUAGCGGUGGAAUGCGCAGAUAUCAGGAGGAACACCAAUAGCGAAGGCAGCUCGCUGGGACGGUACUGACGCUGAGGCGCGAAAGCGUGGGGAGCGAACAGGAUUAGACU
Molecule: ribosomal RNA, 262 nt
Filed under: uncultured bacterium
Lineage: Bacteria
Description: partial 16S ribosomal RNA
Rfam family: Bacterial small subunit ribosomal RNA
Source: RNAcentral